Haliotis rubra (blacklip abalone) is the source of this 1768-nucleotide RNA transcript. RefSeq lists it as uncharacterized. The transcript has 12 exons. The record is from RefSeq and is a predicted model, not a curated record. NCBI's taxonomy places the organism in Eukaryota, Metazoa, Mollusca, Gastropoda, Lepetellida, Haliotidae.
GGUGCACACAGCUACAUGUGACGACGCUGCGUGAAGCCAUAGCGAUAUAUUAAGCUAACUUAUAGUCGUGAAAUACGUAAAACUGUAAGUCGAACAAACGGACGCUGGAUCAGGCAAUUCCUGUUGCCAUGGCAUUGAGAGGAAAGGUUGCGCUCAUUACAGGUUCCAGUUCAGGAAUUGGAGCAGGAAUUGCAGCAGUGUUUGCGAGAGAAGGCGCCAAACUCUCAUUGACAGGCAGGAACCAGAAGGGUUUGGAGGGAGUGGUUAAGAAGUGCAAGACGGAAGCAUCUAACGAUGUUCUCACAAACGUGGGCGACAUUACACAGGAUGCUUUCAGAAAGACUCUGGUGGAAGCAACCAGGAAGAAGUUCGGGAAAAUAGACAUUCUUGUGAACAAUGCUGGGAUCGAAGGUGCAAGUCCGCUGCAAUCAGUGACCAAAGAGCUGUACGACAGAAUCAUGGCCAUUCACGUGGAGACACCUGUGUUUUUGACACAGUUAGUUGCACCGCAUUUGAUUGAAUCUAAAGGAUGUGUGGUUAAUAUUUCAACCUGCGGCACGAGUACAAUUGUUCCGGGAGUGGGUAUCUACGUCAUGUCAAAGGCGGCCUUGGACACAUUCACAAGAUACCUUGCACAUGAAAUGGUUUCACUCGGAGUACGCGUGAAUGCAGUCAACCCAGGUUACAUACCCACUCAAAUAUUAUCUCGCAACUUAUCGAAAGAAGAUUUGGCCAAGAUGGAGAGUGCCGUGACUAAAGCAACGCCAGUUGGUCGGUUGGGUACCGUAGAAGAAAUUGGCCACAUUGUUGCCUUCCUAGCCUCAGAGAAAGCAGCCUUUGUGACUGGAGAAUGUUUCAGGUCCGAUGAGAUACCACGCAGGCAAGAUUAAGGCGCUGGCGGUACACAAUGUGCGGUGCUCAAUCAGGUUUGAUGUCAAGGUUACACAACGACAGAGUGUUCUUACUCCCAGUACAUGCAAGAGUGCACAUAGCUGCAUGUGACUACGCCGGAUGAAGACGUAGCGAUAUAUUAAGCUAACCCAUAGUCGUGGAAUACGUAAAACAGCCGCUGGAUCAGUGAAUUCCGGUUGCCAUGGCAUUGAGAGGAAAAGUUGCGCUCGUCACAGGUUCCAGUUCAGGAAUUGGGGCACGAAUUGCAACAGUACUUGCGAGAGAAGGAGCCAAACUGUCACUGACUGGCAGGAACGAGAAGAAUUUGGAGGAAGUGGCCAAGAACUGCAAGACGGAAGCUUCUGACGUAUAUAGGAAUCAAUAGUGAAAUCUUGAGUUGAUGGAGAAAUCAGCAUCCAUUUCUAAAUAUUUAUAAAUGCCGAUUUAUUCAUGAAGACAUGACCCUACAAUACUUGCCCCUGGUUUCAUGAUUGACAGGGAUUUCUGUCCUCAAGGACAUGUUGAGGUGUGCCUUGGAAAAAAGUUCCUUUACCAAUUAUCGGCUCUAUUUCCUCACUGGCAAGUAGAGGAUAUUAUCAUUCAUUUAGAUAGAAUUGUUUUCAAUAGCGUGUUAACGAUCUGUUUCAGGAUGUUCUCAUAAACGUAGGUGACAUCACACAGGAUGCUUUCAGAAAGACUCUGGUGGAAGCACCAGGAAGAAGUUCGGGAAAAUAGACAUUCUGGUGAACAGUGCUGGGAUCGCAGGGAUCAGCCCACUGCAAUCAGCGACCAAAGAGCUGUUCGACAGUGUCAUGGCCAUAAACGUGGAGGCACCUCUGUUUUUGACACAGUUAGUUGCACCGUAUUUGAUUGAAAC